RNAcentral lists this ribosomal RNA (497 nucleotides) under Paenibacillaceae bacterium CL5.3. RNAcentral's name for it is "bacterial SSU rRNA". It matches the Rfam family "Bacterial small subunit ribosomal RNA", at positions 17 to 503 of the family's 1533-position model. The record is from RNAcentral. Lineage: Bacteria; Bacillati; Bacillota; Bacilli; Caryophanales; Paenibacillaceae.
CCCUGGCUCAGGACGAACGCAGGCGGCGUGCCUAAUACAUGCAAGUCGAGCGGAUUUAUCCUUCGGGAUAAGUUAGCGGCGGACGGGUGAGUAACACGUAGGUAACCUGCCUAUAAGAUCGGGAUAACUAUCGGAAACGAUAGCUAAGACCGGAUAAUUGGUUUUCUCGCAUGAGAGAAUUAUGAAACACGGAGCAAUCUGUGGCUUAUAGAUGGGCCUGCGGCGCAUUAGCUAGUUGGUAGGGUAACGGCCCACCAAGGCGACGAUGCGUAGCCGACCUGAGAGGGUGAACGGCCACACUGGGACUGAGACACGGCCCAGACUCCUACGGGAGGCAGCAGUAGGGAAUCUUCCGCAAUGGACGCAAGUCUGACGGAGCAACGCCGCGUGAGUGAUGAAGGUUUUCGGAUCGUAAAGCUCUGUUGCCCUAGACGAACAGCAAGAGGAGUAACUGCCUUUUGUGUGACGGUAUAGGAGAAGAAAGCCCCGGCUAACUA